RNAcentral lists this ribosomal RNA (374 nucleotides) under uncultured bacterium. RNAcentral's name for it is "bacterial SSU rRNA". It matches the Rfam family "Bacterial small subunit ribosomal RNA", at positions 521 to 896 of the family's 1533-position model. The record is from RNAcentral.
UAAUACGGAGGGGGCUAGCGUUGUUCGGAAUUACUGGGCGUAAAGGGUGCGUAGGCGGUCCAUCAAGUCAGACGUGAAAGGCCUGGGCUCAACCUGGGAACUGCGUUUGAGACUGGUGGACUGGAGUCCGGGAGAGGUAAGCGGAAUUCCCAGUGUAGAGGUGAAAUUCGUAGAUAUUGGGAAGAACACCAGUGGCGAAGGCGGCUUACUGGACCGGUACUGACGCUGAGGCACGACAGCGUGGGGAGCAAACAGGAUUAGAUACCCUGGUAGUCCACGCCGUAAACGAUGUGCGCUAGACGCAGGGGGUUUGGCCUUCUGUGUCGCAGCCAACGCGUUAAGCGCACCGCCUGGGGAGUACGGCCGCAAGGUUA